This 414-nucleotide ribosomal RNA is filed under the name Babesia bovis. RNAcentral describes it as "SSU rRNA". It matches the Rfam family "Eukaryotic small subunit ribosomal RNA", at positions 486 to 984 of the family's 1831-position model. The record is from RNAcentral. Lineage: Eukaryota; Apicomplexa; Aconoidasida; Piroplasmida; Babesiidae.
CGGGGCUACUGCUCUGUAAUUGGCAUGGGGGCGACCUUCACCCUCGCCCGAGUACCCAUUGGAGGGCAAGUCUGGUGCCAGCAGCCGCGGUAAUUCCAGCUCCAAUAGCGUAUAUUAAACUUGUUGCAGUUAAAAAGCUCGUAGUUGUACUUUAUGUCCGCCCUAGUGUUUUUCCACUUGGCGGACGCCUCGUUACUUUGAGAAAAUUAGAGUGUUUCAAGCAGGUUUCGCCUGUAUAAUUGAGCAUGGAAUAACCUUGUAUGACCCUGUCGUACCGUUGGUUGGCUUUGGGUAAUGGUUAAUAGGAACGGUUGGGGGCAUUCGUACUCGACUGUCAGAGGUGAAAUUCUUAGAUUUGUCGAUGACGCACGACUGCGAAAGCAUUUGCCAAGGACGCUUCCAUUAAUCAAGAAC